UACGAAGGGGGCUAGCGUUGCUCGGAAUCACUGGGCGUAAAGCGCACGUAGGCGGAUCUUUAAGUCAGGGGUGAAAUCCUGGAGCUCAACUCCAGAACUGCCUUUGAUACUGAGGAUCUCGAGUCCGGGAGAGGUGAGUGGAACUGCGAGUGUAGAGGUGAAAAUUCGUAGAUAUUCGCAAGAACACCAGUGGCGAAGGCGGCUCACUGGCCCGGUACUGACGCUGAGGUGCGAAAGCGUGGGGAGCAAACAGG
RNAcentral lists this ribosomal RNA (254 nucleotides) under uncultured bacterium. Its description in RNAcentral is "partial 16S ribosomal RNA". It matches the Rfam family "Bacterial small subunit ribosomal RNA", at positions 524 to 776 of the family's 1533-position model. The record is from RNAcentral.